AUACCAAGCGUUUCUAGUUCAACCUUCAGGGCAAGAGAAGAAUUCGAGCUUACUUUAGGAGGCGAGGGCUUGUGCUUGAAGUGGAGAAAUCACGCCGGAUGGAAAACAUUUGAGUUUUACUUGUCGCGUGACACUCUACAUCCCCUAAAGCAUACAAAUUCACAAAUUGCUUUUUCAUCUUUUGGGGGCAAGAGAAGAAGUAAAGCUUUGUUCGGCUUGUGCUUGAAGAGGAGAAACUGCAUAGAUUAAUGUGUGAAGCUAAACCUCCGACCAUAUUGCAUUUCAAGACUUGGACAUGACUUGAUUUGUUUCAAGUACAAAUUCACAUAUUACUUUUUCAUCCUUUGGGGCAAGAGAAGAAGUAAAGCUUUGUUUGGCUUGUGCUUGAAGAGGAGAAACCGCAUUGGUUGAGGCGUGAAGUUAAUCCUCCGAUUGUAUUGCCUUUUGAGACUCAGACAUGACUUGAUCUAUUUCAAGGUAACUUAUUCUAAAACACAAAUCCCAUCAUAGUAAAUUUUAUCUCUAUAUUGCUUCUCUAGAAAAGCCCCACCUUCAUUCUCUAGUUUAUUAUAAUUGAUUAGAUGAAAAACAUUUGAGUUUUUCUCAUUGCAUAACACUUUACAUCCUUUAAAGCAUAUAAAUUCACAUUACUUUUUAAAAAUAAUCGUCACACAUAUUGCUUUUUUUUUUCUUAAUACAUUUAUUCUAUUCGGAACCAAUUGGUAUGAACUGUUAGUUUGUUUGGACAUGGUGGAAUCGCAUACCAAUCCUCACUCUAGAGUAGUUCUUGAAACAUUUACCUUUGACCUUUGGAAUAACUGACUUUAAAAGGUGGAUAGGGGAGAAUCUUUACUUAAGGGACCUCAACUUUGGUUCUCAUAUCUAUGCACAAAAAUUUCUUUACUGGAUGAGCUUGCUCUUAAUUUAUUAGAGCUUUCAUCCGAUGAUGCCAAAGUAAAGUGCAAGGGUAUAUGAAAGUUAUAUCCACGGGAAUUUGGACAUCGUUGCUCUAACCCUGCUUUGUCCUUUAUACUAUGUGAGAGGAUCCACAAAUAGAUUGCUGAUUUGGAAGUGUGCAGAAAGAGAAAUUUGUAACUAUGAGCCGUCAGACUAGCUGUAUAUUUUCAUUCAUAGACUAAUUAAUAAAUAAAUUCAUUUUAGUAUGAGAAAAUAUAUAUGGCGAUGAAGUAAUUAAUAAUAAAAUAUUAGUAUUUUCCCACACAUUUUUAAGUGAGAAAGGGGCAUCCAAUGGAGAGCUAAUGUAAAUUAUUGCUCAUUAAUAAAAAAAAAUGUCCUUAUUAAAUGGGAUGGGUUUGCGGAUAACGUCUUAGCUCACAGGACCACACCACCCCCAUAAUUUCUUGUAUGAAUACAUUGUCUCUAAUGUAUGUAUCGAUUUUUUUUUGCCAAAGACCUAAGUGCCGAGUACAACAUCAUUUAUUGAAAGACCAAAUAUUAGACAACGUCUAUUAGCGAAAGACCAAUUUGAAAGCAUACUUCUUUCGAUUGCCGAAGGUUGACCAUAGCAUUACUCGGUUCGAAAGUUUCCUCACCCCUACGAGUUCCAAUUGCAAAGAAAUUGUGACUUUUUUCCUUGGGCACGCUUCAUAACUCCUUUCAUGAUGGAACGUUUCUCCAACCUAAUGAAAAGUAGUAUUGCAGAAUACUUUUAAAGUGUUUAAAAAAAUUAAGUUGAUUUCCACAUUCAACCCCCCAUGUAUUACGCUACAUGUUUGUUCAUCUUUUAGGAACCAUGAACACGAGUUUUCCUUAUCUCUUCCAACAAAAUGCUUUCAAGAAGUAUUUGAUAAGUCCCAAUUUACAUUUAUUCAUGUGGAUUAGUUGACUUUAAAAAUUUAGGUAGUCCAUGAUUUUUAUAACAAAAAUAUUAGAUAAGGACAAAUCAAAAUUAUCAUUUUCUUUAUCUAGGACGAGGUUUCCUAGAUGAAAAUUCCGAAUGGAUUAAAUUUUGUAUGAUAUUAAAGGGGACAAAAAUGAUCCCCUUUUCAUAUGUCUUCUAAAAUAUAAUUUUUAAUAUUAAAAUAACAUUAUAAUAUACAAUAAAACCCGUGUUGGAACCGACCCGAGUCACCAACCAUUGGCCCAUAUGGACCUGAAACACGGGCCCAGUCCAGCUUAGAGAGAAAGGCCCAACCCUUUAAAAACGAAAUGAACUAAGCCUGGCCCAUUAAAGCAGGAUAAGCCCAAUAUGCCUAAAUCAUCCCAGCCCGAAUACCAAACCCUAAAGACCUGACCCCGAUCCACUCCGACCCGCAUCCGAUGCGGUACCUAGGCAGAUCCGACUUGCUCUCCUCCCCCUGCCUCUCGCAGCGCUCUAUCGACCUCGCCCCGACGGGGGCGGCCGCGGCGAGUGCCACCGCUCGCAUCGGGCUGGCCACGCACCCAACCCAACAACGUCUUGGCCAGCCCAGGCCGAGGGCCAGUUC
Eucalyptus grandis is the source of this 2447-nucleotide long non-coding RNA. RefSeq lists it as uncharacterized. The transcript has 5 exons. Lineage: Eukaryota; Viridiplantae; Streptophyta; Magnoliopsida; Myrtales; Myrtaceae. The record is from RefSeq and is a predicted model, not a curated record.